This 580-nucleotide long non-coding RNA is filed under the name Physcomitrium patens. RNAcentral describes it as "long non-coding RNA (PPAT_LNC002189)". Lineage: Eukaryota; Viridiplantae; Streptophyta; Bryopsida; Funariales; Funariaceae. The record is from RNAcentral.
ACCUGUGCAGCUCCAGCACACAACAUAUCUAAAUUUUAGACUAUCUCUAAAUUGGGUGGUGAAUGUAGACGUUGAUGAAGUAGCACUGCAUCAAUUCAUGGGAACAGCUUCAUUAAGUUCCAGCGUCUCAGGCCCAGUUAUGUUUGUGGUAAGGCCAUCCGAACAUCAAACCCUAAUCGAGGAACAUGAAGAAGGAGGAAGACUUUGAAGGGCACGGGCGAGUCAAAACGGAAUCGUAUUCAUGGUAAAGAUCCAAUCUAAUAUCAAGUAAUUGUCGCAAGUGCGUGCAUCAAAAACUACUCAAUACAAGUUGAUUCAUCUCUCUCUUCAUUUUGACACAAUAUACAUGGAAGUGGCGUGUUAAGUUCAUUGUGACCUUUCAUGACAGGACUUCAACAUCGUUCCCAUGGCUUUAACGAGUCUGGCAUCAGCGCAUAACGAUAUUCGCGAGAAUGGCCUACCUAGGACACUGAAAUAUUUUUUUAACACAUCUGUGCAUUUAGGACAACCAUGUGGGUCUUUGCAAUAGAAUAACCAUAUGAUAAUUGCUUCUUACAACGAGACAAUUGCUUUCUUGCAG